Vombatus ursinus (common wombat) is the source of this 138-nucleotide small nucleolar RNA. The record is from Ensembl. Lineage: Eukaryota; Metazoa; Chordata; Mammalia; Diprotodontia; Vombatidae.
UUGCAAACUCGAUCACUGGCUCUGCACGACAUUGCAGAAGCAAGGGGAACCAGGUUUGCUAAAGUAAUUGUGGUGAUAGAAGCUUAUUUGCCUCGGAAUUGACGUUUUUGAGGCACCUCAUUCUAUCCUAAGACAAGA